RNAcentral lists this non-coding RNA (24 nucleotides) under Gallus gallus (chicken). RNAcentral also lists the same sequence under 3 other names. Lineage: Eukaryota; Metazoa; Chordata; Aves; Galliformes; Phasianidae. The record is from RNAcentral.
UGGUUAGGAUUCGGCGCUCUCACC